Molecule: ribosomal RNA, 501 nt
Filed under: uncultured bacterium
Lineage: Bacteria
Description: partial 16S ribosomal RNA
Rfam family: Bacterial small subunit ribosomal RNA
Source: RNAcentral
AUUGAACGCUGGCGGCAGGCUUAACACAUGCAAGUCGAGCGGAGCGAGGGUGCUUGCACCUUAGCUUAGCGGCGGACGGGUGAGUAAUGCUUAGGAAUCUGCCUAUUAGUGGGGGACAACAUUCCGAAAGGAAUGCUAAUACCGCAUACGCCCUACGGGGGAAAGCAGGGGAUCUUCGGACCUUGCGCUAAUAGAUGAGCCUAAGUCGGAUUAGCUAGUUGGUGGGGUAAAGGCCUACCAAGGCGACGAUCUGUAGCGGGUCGGAGAGGAUGAUCCGCCACACUGGGACUGAGACACGGGCCAGACUCCGACGGGGGGCAGCAGUGGGGAAUAUUGGACAAUGGGCGGAAGCCUGAACCAGCCAUGCCGCGUGUGUGAAGAAGGCCUUUUGGUUGUAAAGCACUUUAAGCGAGGAGGAGGCUACUUAGAUUAAUACUCUGGGAUAGUGGACGUUACUCGCAGAAUAAGCACCGGCUAACUCUGUGCCAGCCGCCGCCGUAA